This 275-nucleotide long non-coding RNA is filed under the name Helianthus annuus (common sunflower). Its description in RNAcentral is "sRNA HanXRQr2_Chr03g0109751". Lineage: Eukaryota; Viridiplantae; Streptophyta; Magnoliopsida; Asterales; Asteraceae. The record is from RNAcentral.
AUGUUUAAGAGAUCGGUUCAAUUGUUGAAUAGGUCAAAGUACUUGGCCAACUUUGGAUCCGACAUCACUGAAGUCGAUUAGCUGGGAGAAAUGGAAGCGCUAAAGGUGGAAUGUUUAGAUGGUGCUUUGGUGGAUUGUAUAUAAUUUUGGUGGUUGUAAUCAUAUUUGGCGUAUGGUUGUAAGAUUUCCUCUUAAGAAUGUGCUAGCACGAUGACUAUAGUAUGGCUGUUGGUAAUAAACCGACAAUAAAAAUAACAAUAAUAAUACUUAAUAAU